Molecule: unclassified non-coding RNA, 364 nt
Filed under: Hevea brasiliensis (rubber tree)
Lineage: Eukaryota; Viridiplantae; Streptophyta; Magnoliopsida; Malpighiales; Euphorbiaceae
Source: RNAcentral
UUAUUUUUGUACUAAUAGCGACAAAAAUCCAAACCGCACAAUGUUUGUCAAUUGUGGCCACUUCUUUUAAUACCAAAUACCAACUGUGGCCACUCCAUGAACUUAAACAUUUAUAACGAUUAGCCAUCUUUUAGUUUCACUCCCUAAACUAUGUGCCUUUGUUGACAUAGUGUACUCUUAUUGUUUAAUAGUUCUUAAGUUGACUAGAGCAAAACUAAAGCUGACAGGAUCUUAAAAUUUAAUUUUCUCAAUAAUUUUCAUAAUUUAAUUUGUUACUGGUAUUUUUUCCUUGUUUAUUUAUUUUUAGUUUUUUAAAAAAUGUUCAAAUGUGGUUGGAAAUUUUGAGUAACAAAAAAAAAAAAAA